GAAACGAUCGCUAAUACCGCAUGACAUAGCGGAAUCGCAUGGUUCUGUUAUCAAAGAUUUUAUCGCUGAUAGAUGGGCUCGCGUCCGAUUAGAUAGUUGGUGGGGUAACGGCCUACCAAGUCGACGAUCGGUAGCCGGACUGAGAGGUCGAACGGCCACAUUGGGACUGAGACACGGCCCAGACUCCUACGGGAGGCAGCAGUGGGGGAUAUUGCACAAUGGGGGAAACCCUGAUGCAGCGACGCCGCGUGAGGGAAGACGGUCCUCUGGAUUGUAAACCUCUGUCUUCGGGGACGAAACGAGACGGUACCCGAGGAGGAAGCCACGGCUAACUACGUGCCAGCAGCCGCGGUAAUACGUAGGUGGCAAGCGUUGUCCGGAAUUACUGGGUGUAAAGGGAGCGUAGGCGGGCAGGCAAGUCAGGCGUGAAAUAUAUCGGCUCAACCGGUAACGGCGCUUGAAACUGCAGGUCUUGAGUGAAGUAGAGGUUGGCGGAAUUCCUAGUGUAGCGGUGAAAUGCGUAGAUAUUAGGAGGAACACCAGUGGCGAAGGCGGCCAACUGGGCUUUUACUGACGCUGAGGCUCGAAAGUGUGGGGAGCAAACAGGAUUAGAUACCCUGGUAGUCCACACCGUAAACGAUGAUUACUAGGUGUGGGGGGACUGACCCCUUCCGUGCC
This 678-nucleotide ribosomal RNA is filed under the name uncultured bacterium. RNAcentral describes it as "bacterial SSU rRNA". It matches the Rfam family "Bacterial small subunit ribosomal RNA", at positions 153 to 847 of the family's 1533-position model. The record is from RNAcentral.